GGUAUGGGAUGAGCUUGCGUCCGAUUAGCUAGUUGGCGGGGCAACGGCCCACCAAGGCGACGAUCGGUAGCCGGCCUGAGAGGGUGAUCGGCCACAUUGGGACUGAGAUACGGCCCAGACUCCUACGGGAGGCAGCAGUAGGGAAUAUUGCACAAUGGGGGGAACCCUGAUGCAGCAACGCCACUUGUGGGAAGAAGCAUUUCGGUGUGUAAACCACUGUCAUGAGGGAAUAAGGCCUAUUUUCGGAUAGGAUUGAAUGUACCUUGAGAGGAAGCACCGGCAAACUUCGUGCCAGCAGCCGCGGUAAUACGAGGGGUGCAAGCGUUGUUCGGAAUUACUGGGCGUAAAGGGAGCGUAGGCGGAGAUUCAAGCGGAUUGUACAAUCCCGGGGCCCAACCCCGGCUCUGCAGUCCGAACUGGAUCUCUUGGAUAGUUCAGGGGCAGGC
This 446-nucleotide ribosomal RNA is filed under the name uncultured bacterium. Its description in RNAcentral is "bacterial SSU rRNA". It matches the Rfam family "Bacterial small subunit ribosomal RNA", at positions 217 to 662 of the family's 1533-position model. The record is from RNAcentral.